RNAcentral lists this transfer RNA (72 nucleotides) under Camelus bactrianus (Bactrian camel). It matches the Rfam family "tRNA". From Rfam's summary of the family: Transfer RNA (tRNA) molecules are approximately 80 nucleotides in length. The record is from Rfam by way of RNAcentral. RNAcentral also lists the same sequence under 2 other names. Lineage: Eukaryota; Metazoa; Chordata; Mammalia; Artiodactyla; Camelidae.
GGGGGAAUAGCUCAGUGGUAGAGCACAUGCUUAGCAUGCACAAGGUCCUGGGUUCAAUCCCCAGUACUGCUG